RNAcentral lists this transfer RNA (77 nucleotides) under Caloramator fervidus. RNAcentral describes it as "tRNA_Arg_TCT". It matches the Rfam family "tRNA". Rfam says of the family: Transfer RNA (tRNA) molecules are approximately 80 nucleotides in length. Their secondary structure includes four short double-helical elements and three loops (D, anti-codon, and T loops). Lineage: Bacteria; Bacillati; Bacillota; Clostridia; Eubacteriales; Clostridiaceae. The record is from RNAcentral.
GCGCCCUUAGCUCAGCUGGAUAGAGCAACGGCCUUCUAAGCCGUGUGUCGGGAGUUCGAAUCUCUCAGGGCGCACCA